RNAcentral lists this ribosomal RNA (253 nucleotides) under uncultured bacterium. RNAcentral's name for it is "partial 16S ribosomal RNA". It matches the Rfam family "Bacterial small subunit ribosomal RNA", at positions 524 to 776 of the family's 1533-position model. The record is from RNAcentral.
UACGGAGGGUGCGAGCGUUGUCCGGAAUCACUGGGCGUAAAGGGCGCGUAGGCGGCGCGGGAAGUCCGUGGUGAAAGCCCGAGGCUCAACUUCGGGUCGGCCAUGGAUACUCCUGGGCUCGAGCACUGUAGAGGCAGGUGGAAUUCCGGGUGUGGCGGUGGAAUGCGUAGAGAUCCGGAAGAACACCGGUGGCGAAGGCGGCCUGCUGGGCAGUAGCUGACGCUGAGGCGCGACAGCGUGGGGAGCAAACAGG